AUUCCGGUUGAUCCUGGCGGCGGCCACCGCUAUAGGAAUUCGAUUAAGACAUGCGAGUCGAGAGUCGUAAUGGACUCGGCGGACUACUCAGUAACACGUGGACAACGUGCCCUUAAGUGGGGGAUAAUCUCGGGAAAUUGAGGAUAAUACCCCAUAGAUCAUGGCAUCUGGAAUGAGCUAUGGUUCAAAGUUCCGGCGCUUAAGGAUCGGUCUGCGGCCUAUCAGGUAGUAGUGGGUGUAAAGUACCUACUAGCCUAUGACGGGUAUGGGCCUUGAGAGAGGGAGCCCAGAGUUGGAUUCUGAGACACGAAUCCAGGCCCUACGGGGCGCAGCAGUCGCGAAAACUUUACACUGGGGGCAACCCCGAUGAGGGAAUUCCUAGUGCUAGCUCUUUUUGAGUUAGCUUUUCUUUAGCGUAGAUAACUAAAGGAAUAAGGGCUGGGUAAGACGGGUGCCAGCAGCCGCGGUAAA
RNAcentral lists this ribosomal RNA (471 nucleotides) under uncultured archaeon. Its description in RNAcentral is "bacterial SSU rRNA". It matches the Rfam family "Archaeal small subunit ribosomal RNA", at positions 1 to 474 of the family's 1478-position model. The record is from RNAcentral.